RNAcentral lists this ribosomal RNA (287 nucleotides) under uncultured soil bacterium. RNAcentral's name for it is "partial 16S ribosomal RNA". It matches the Rfam family "Bacterial small subunit ribosomal RNA", at positions 26 to 340 of the family's 1533-position model. The record is from RNAcentral.
AGAACGAACGCUGGCGGCAUGCCUAAUACAUGCAAGUCGAACGAACUCUUCGGAGUUAGUGGCGCACGGGUGCGUAACGCGUGGGAAUCUGCCCUUGGGUUCGGAAUAACAGUUGGAAACGACUGCUAAUACCGGAUGAUGACGAAAGUCCAAAGAUUUAUCGCCCAGGGAUGAGCCCGCGUAGGAUUAGCUAGUUGGUGAGGUAAAGGCUACACCAAGGCGACGAUCCUUAGCUGGUCUGAGAGGAUGAUCAGCCACACUGGGACUGAGACACGGCCCAGACUCCG